Molecule: long non-coding RNA, 294 nt
Organism: Nannospalax galili (Upper Galilee mountains blind mole rat)
Lineage: Eukaryota; Metazoa; Chordata; Mammalia; Rodentia; Spalacidae
Exons: 3
Source: RefSeq, a predicted model, not a curated record
CGCCCUUCUGCGGGACCGAUGCCGCCCUUGGGAAGCAGGCAGGAAACGCCCCAAACCAGCGGGAGACCAGCGGGAAAAGAACCAUCUGAACCCCACACUGCUCCAAAACACCACUGGAGGAAAUGGAGACAGGAGGAAGGGGUUUGUGUUCAUCCCCACCCGGCUGAGAUAAUCAGAAGUGGACAGCGAGCUGGCUAGCCCACAGAAAGGGGUCUACAUACAUAUGCUCUUAUAUACAAAACGAUGACUCUGGUGUCCCGAAGGAAAGAAAAAUAAAAGCAACAGCAAGAACAG